RNAcentral lists this unclassified non-coding RNA (337 nucleotides) under Hevea brasiliensis (rubber tree). Lineage: Eukaryota; Viridiplantae; Streptophyta; Magnoliopsida; Malpighiales; Euphorbiaceae. The record is from RNAcentral.
GGAAGAAAUCGAACGUUCUGAGAGGUAAUUCUCUCAAUCUCUUUCGGGUCUUCCUAAUUUUGGUAAUCUUCAGACUGUUUUGCAGAACCAAGAAUUAAAAAUCCAGACCAUGGAAUGAUGGGCUUUAAUUUGUAUGUGCAUGAAUACGAUGCACUAUAAAUAUAGCAAUCAGAUAAUCUAUUCAAGAUUAAAUAUUUCAAGAAGAGUCUCAGCUCUAUAUAAGUCACGCUAUUGUUUGAAGAUAGAUUUGAUUAUCUACCCCAUUUUGACUCCUUGAUUAUGGGUUUAUGUGUUAGAAUGCUACUCUUCAAGGAUGUGCAAUUUAAUUUGGUUUUAC